ACAUCCCCGUGUCCCUAAACCCGGCACUCUCACACCCUGUCCUCUAGGUUCCUCUUUCCUGCCACCCAAUCGACACUUCUGGAUCAAACUUCUGGAUCAAGCUAGCAUCCAACUGUGGUUUUCUGCUGACUUUUUCCUCCUUGUCAGGAACGCAUAUGGAGAAGAGGGAAGUGUCAUCUUAGCUGGGACAGCGGAACAGGAUUUCUUCUCAUUGGAAACAAGCAGAGACAGCAACGCUCCUCAGAGGCGGCUCUUUCAGUUAUUCCUUCAAAGAUUUGGGAAAGCAGGCAGUGAUCCUUCUCUGGACAGACUUACCCUACACUGCAAUUCAUGGAAACUGUUGACCAUUGUGGAUGAAACUCAAAAAUUCAUGGGAAUAUUUUUGGAUUUGAGACUAUUAAAGGCUCUUUGAAAAUUCCCAUGUGUACAGAGCUGCCAGAAAAAUUCACUCUGUGGCAGCUUCUGAGGUUUCCAUUGUUGUUUCCAUCCUGCGCUCACAGGAAAACGAAAAUCUUCAAUAAAAAUGGGAGGUGGUGGGUUACAGUUACAGACUGGCAGCUGAUAGACAGCUUGGGAUAAAGUGGACACAAGCUCAAGUGACUCCCUGUUUUAGUAAAAUCAGAACUGCAUGGAGAAGGAACUAGACCAUACCUCCCACAACAGCUCGGCUUCCUCCUCAGAUGCAGCAAACUCCCAGGAAACUGGUUCUGCGGUAAACGUGAGUUUUGGAAAUGCAGGGAACCCUGGAGCCACAAUGCCACUUGGAUUGAAUUUAUGGACAGCUUUUCAAAACAAGCAGUUGAAACAUGAAUGUGCAUCUGAAGGAAGCUUGGGCAAAGAUGGCUUUGUUUUUGUUUUUGGGGUUUUUUUUUCUGUUUGUUUUGCUUACUGGUCAAAAUACAAACGUUUGAAUAAAUUAAUAAUUAGGCAUCAAUUUAAAUGUUUCAUACAGCACAAUGUUAAUAUUUCAUAUGCUACACACUGUUUUCAGUCACUUAACCCCCCCCCACAUUUCCCUGUAGCUUUUGAAAAGUGACAUUUUUUAAAAAGAAAAGAAAUAGAAGAUGAUAUUUUGAAAGUGAUUUAAAAAAUGGUCUGAGUUUCUGUCAGUUCUUUGUCACUUUUCCCAGAGCUUUUUCAACUGCAGCUUAAACUAAUGAAGAUAUUUGACUCCUCUGCAACUGCAUAUUUGAAAAAAAACAGAUUCUCAGAUAUGAGCAGAGGUACAAAUGUACAUGUGCCUGAACUGAACAUUUUCUGUGCUUCUGCAUAGUUUUGUGUGCAUUUGUGAAUGGGAUAUAAUUAUUUUUAGCAUUUUUGCAAACACUUUUUUUUGCUACUAUAACUGUUUGGUUGUUUUUGUAGAACUUGAAUUUUUACAGCUUAAGCCGCAGAAAUCUAAAACAAUUUGCGAAAAAUAACCUCACUGUGCAGUGACUGAGAUUGCAUGCAUGUCUUUAACAUCCAUGAUAAAACUUUGCUCCCAUUGUCUAUUUUUAGUAGCGCAAACAUGUACCUAUAAGAUUACUUACUGUCUUGUUUAGGUCUUAAUUUUUCAUUAAGCUAUAAUUUGGACAAAGGAUGGUCAGAAAUGCUUGAAUGGAAUUCAUCCAUAUAGGCAACACAGUCCCAUUUACAUUGCGUGUCUAAUUCCAGAUAUUAUCUACCAACAAACCUAUUCUGUGCUGCCCAAUUUAAGCAUGAUGGGCAUUUUUUUUUAGCUAUGCAUUUAUUUAUUUUAGCCAUAGUGACAUGACAUUUAUCAAAAUAAAUAUCAUUUAUAUUUUAGCUAGACUUAAAAUAUUUAUGAUUUUGGACUGGAAAUCUUCCUUGCUUAGUUAAAUUAUUCAGACUCAUGGGAUUUCUGGGGCAGACUUUUCCAUGUUUGAUAAUCAUGUCCAGUGGCUUGCUUUCAAGCUCAGAAGUAAAAGGGGACUGUUGGGCUCUUGUUUUUCUUCCUCAUGAUCAUUGCCAUUAAAUCCUUGGUGCUGAACAUGUUUUGUCAAGGCAAUUUUUGUUUCGAUUACAGAUUUGAUUCUCUUAAGAAAUUACCUAUAGUGUUUGGUGGUUACUUUUUAAAUUCCUUUUUAAUGCAUUAAUACACUUACUUUAAUACUA
Molecule: long non-coding RNA, 2118 nt
Organism: Falco peregrinus (peregrine falcon)
Lineage: Eukaryota; Metazoa; Chordata; Aves; Falconiformes; Falconidae
Exons: 2
Source: RefSeq, a predicted model, not a curated record